CAGCAGCCACGGGAAUACGGAGGGAGCUAGCGUUGUUCGGAAUUACUGGGCGUAAAGCGCACGUAGGCGGUUAUUCAAGUCAGAGGUGAAAGCCCGGGGCUCAACCCCGGAACUGCCUUUGAAACUAGAUGACUAGAAUCUUGGAGAGGUCAGUGGAAUUCCGAGUGUAGAGGUGAAAUUCGUAGAUAUUCGGAAGAACACCAGUGGCGAAGGCGACUGACUGGACAAGUAUUGACGCUGAGGUGCGAAAGCGUGGGGAGCAAACAGGAUUAGAUACCCGGGUAGUCCCUGUCUCUUAUAC
RNAcentral lists this ribosomal RNA (301 nucleotides) under uncultured bacterium. Its description in RNAcentral is "partial 16S ribosomal RNA". It matches the Rfam family "Bacterial small subunit ribosomal RNA", at positions 509 to 807 of the family's 1533-position model. The record is from RNAcentral.